RNAcentral lists this ribosomal RNA (750 nucleotides) under Acinetobacter sp. RNAcentral's name for it is "bacterial SSU rRNA". It matches the Rfam family "Bacterial small subunit ribosomal RNA", at positions 55 to 804 of the family's 1533-position model. Lineage: Bacteria; Pseudomonadati; Pseudomonadota; Gammaproteobacteria; Moraxellales; Moraxellaceae. The record is from RNAcentral.
AUGCAGUCGAGCGGAGAUGAGGUGCUUGCACCUUAUCUUAGCGGCGGACGGGUGAGUAAUGCUUAGGAAUCUGCCUAUUAGUGGGGGACAACAUUCCGAAAGGAAUGCUAAUACCGCAUACGCCCUACGGGGGAAAGCAGGGGAUCUUCGGACCUUGCGCUAAUAGAUGAGCCUAAGUCGGAUUAGCUAGUUGGUGGGGUAAAGGCCUACCAAGGCGACGAUCUGUAGCGGGUCUGAGAGGAUGAUCCGCCACACUGGGACUGAGACACGGCCCAGACUCCUACGGGAGGCAGCAGUGGGGAAUAUUGGACAAUGGGCGGAAGCCUGAUCCAGCCAUGCCGCGUGUGUGAAGAAGGCCUUUUGGUUGUAAAGCACUUUAAGCGAGGAGGAGGCUACUUAGAUUAAUACUCUAGGAUAGUGGACGUUACUCGCAGAAUAAGCACCGGCUAACUCUGUGCCAGCAGCCGCGGUAAUACAGAGGGUGCGAGCGUUAAUCGGAUUUACUGGGCGUAAAGCGUGCGUAGGCGGCUGAUUAAGUCGGAUGUGAAAUCCCUGAGCUUAACUUAGGAAUUGCAUUCGAUACUGGUCAGCUAGAGUAUGGGAGAGGAUGGUAGAAUUCCAGUGUAGCGGUGAAAUGCGUAGAGAUCUGGAGGAAUACCGAUGGCGAAGCAGCCAUCUGGCCUAAUACUGACGCUGAGUACGAAAGCAUGGGGAGCAAACAGAUUAGAUACCCUGGUAGUCCAUGCCGUA